Molecule: unclassified non-coding RNA, 535 nt
Filed under: Aspergillus fumigatus
Lineage: Eukaryota; Fungi; Ascomycota; Eurotiomycetes; Eurotiales; Aspergillaceae
Description: partial contains small subunit ribosomal RNA, internal, transcribed spacer 1, 5.8S ribosomal RNA, internal, transcribed spacer 2, and large subunit ribosomal RNA
Rfam family: 5.8S ribosomal RNA (bases 174-327)
Source: RNAcentral
CCUCUGGGUCCAACCUCCCACCCGUGUCUAUCGUACCUUGUUGCUUCGGCGGGCCCGCCGUUUCGACGGCCGCCGGGGAGGCCUUGCGCCCCCGGGCCCGCGCCCGCCGAAGACCCCAACAUGAACGCUGUUCUGAAAGUAUGCAGUCUGAGUUGAUUAUCGUAAUCAGUUAAAACUUUCAACAACGGAUCUCUUGGUUCCGGCAUCGAUGAAGAACGCAGCGAAAUGCGAUAAGUAAUGUGAAUUGCAGAAUUCAGUGAAUCAUCGAGUCUUUGAACGCACAUUGCGCCCCCUGGUAUUCCGGGGGGCAUGCCUGUCCGAGCGUCAUUGCUGCCCUCAAGCACGGCUUGUGUGUUGGGCCCCCGUCCCCCUCUCCCGGGGGACGGGCCCGAAAGGCAGCGGCGGCACCGCGUCCGGUCCUCGAGCGUAUGGGGCUUUGUCACCUGCUCUGUAGGCCCGGCCGGCGCCAGCCGACACCCAACUUUAUUUUUCUAAGGUUGACCUCGGAUCAGGUAGGGAUACCCGCUGAACUUAA